This 565-nucleotide ribosomal RNA is filed under the name uncultured bacterium. RNAcentral describes it as "bacterial SSU rRNA". It matches the Rfam family "Bacterial small subunit ribosomal RNA", at positions 832 to 1396 of the family's 1533-position model. The record is from RNAcentral.
UAGCGCACUUUGUGGCGAAGUUAACGCGAUAAGUCGACCGCCUGGGGAGUACGGCCGCAAGGUUAAAACUCAAAUGAAUUGACGGGGGCCCGCACAAGCGGUGGAGCAUGUGGUUUAAUUGGAUGCAACGCGAAGAACCUUACCUACUCUUGACAUCCUGCGAGUUUGUGAGAGAUCACUUGGUGCCUUCGGGAGCGCAGAGACAGGUGCUGCAUGGCUGUCGUCAGCUCGUGUUGUGAAAUGUUGGGUUAAGUCCCGUAACGAGCGCAACCCUUGUCCUUAUUUGCCAGCGGGUAAUGCCGGGAACUCUAAGGAGACUGCCGGUGACAAACCGGAGGAAGGUGGGGACGACGUCAAGUCAUCAUGGCCCUUACGAGUAGGGCUACACACGUGCUACAAUGGCCGGUACAAAGGGUUGCGAGCUCGCGAGAGUCAGCUAAUCCCGAAAAGCCGGUCUCAGUCCGGAUCGGAGUCUGCAACUCGACUCCGUGAAGUCGGAAUCGCUAGUAAUCGUGAAUCAGAAUGUCACGGUGAAUACGUUCCCGGGCCUUGCACACACCGCCCG